UACGUAGGGGGCAAGCGUUGUCCGGAAUCAUUGGGCGUAAAGCGCGUGUAGGCGGCUGGCUAAGUCCGCUCUGAAAGCCCGGGGCUCAACCCCGGGAGGCGGGUGGAUACUGGUCAGCUCGAGUCCGGAAGAGGAGUGUGGAAUUCCUGGUGUAGCGGUGAAAUGCGCAGAUAUCGGGAGGAACACCAGUGGCGAAGGCGGCACUCUGGGCCAAUACUGACGCUGAGGUGCGAAAGCGUGGGGAGCAAACAGG
This 253-nucleotide ribosomal RNA is filed under the name uncultured bacterium. Its description in RNAcentral is "partial 16S ribosomal RNA". It matches the Rfam family "Bacterial small subunit ribosomal RNA", at positions 524 to 776 of the family's 1533-position model. The record is from RNAcentral.